Non-coding RNA from Vicia faba (fava bean), 312 nucleotides. The record is from the annotation of a GenBank genome assembly. NCBI's taxonomy places the organism in Eukaryota, Viridiplantae, Streptophyta, Magnoliopsida, Fabales, Fabaceae.
AUGGAUUUUCUAGCAGCUAUCAGUUAUUUCUCUUUCUCCUUUUUUAAUGUUCACAUUGUGUAUGCAAGAGGCGGUUGGUGUGAAGUGGAAGAGGGUCUUCUAUGCAUUUCAUUGGAGAAAAUUACAGGGGCUUUAUUAUGCGUGAAAGUUAAAAGGAAGCAAAGAAGUUCUCUUAUAAUCAUGUGUAUUCGCCGUUUGAAGAUUGAAGUUUUGAGCAAGGAUAAGAACUCUUUUAUGACAUCUGUCUGCAAAUAUCACUGCAGUAUUGAAGCAAGCAGGUUGAAGAGGAUAUCAGGAUAUCCUAAAGUAUAG